CAGUCGCCGCGGUAAUACAGAGGGUGCAAGCGUUAAUCGGAAUUACUGGGCGUAAAGCGCGCGUAGGUGGUUUGUUAAGUUGGAUGUGAAAGCCCCGGGCUCAACCUGGGAACUGCAUCCAAAACUGGCAAGCUAGAGUACGGUAGAGGGUGGUGGAAUUUCCUGUGUAGCGGUGAAAUGCGUAGAUAUAGGAAGGAACACCAGUGGCGAAGGCGACCACCUGGACUGAUACUGACACUGAGGUGCGAAAGCGUGGGGAGCAAACAGGAUUAGAUACCCCUGUAGUCCCUGUCUCUUAUAC
This 301-nucleotide ribosomal RNA is filed under the name uncultured bacterium. Its description in RNAcentral is "partial 16S ribosomal RNA". It matches the Rfam family "Bacterial small subunit ribosomal RNA", at positions 509 to 807 of the family's 1533-position model. The record is from RNAcentral.